Molecule: non-coding RNA, 68 nt
Organism: Phrynosoma platyrhinos (Desert horned lizard)
Lineage: Eukaryota; Metazoa; Chordata; Lepidosauria; Squamata; Phrynosomatidae
Source: the annotation of a GenBank genome assembly
GUAGUGGCACAGUGGUUUGAGUAUUAGACUGUAACUCUGGAGACCAGGGUUCGAUUCCCCGCUCGACA